UAUGUAUAAUUCCAGAUGUAUUCAUGUUCCCUCAUAUUUCAGAAAGUAUGCUAUUGAUAUCUUGAAGUAAUGGUAUAUUCAUGAACAGGCCAAAAGUACUUGAGGUCACUCCAACUAGCCCUCUCUUAACCGGAGGAAAAAAAACCGUAGUUGUUGAGCAUGAGUUAGUCAAGUCUGUUUUUAGUAUGUAUGAUUUCAAAAUGCAUUCAAAUCCUUGAAUGUUAUGAUUGAAUAUGGUUUGAAAAUGGAAAUGAUUUGAGGCCUAAUUGGUUGUAUUUUUAUUUUUUUAUUUAGUUUAGGAGAUAAAAGUGAAACUAACCCAAUAAGAAAAGAUAAAUGUAAGGUUGUGGUAUUAUAUAUAAUAUUAGUGAGGGGGUUAAAUUUGGAAGAGAAUUUUGGACAAGGAAGUUGUAAAAUUUGAGAGAAGACAAAAUUGAGAUGGAAUUGUAAAAUCUGGGGGCUCCUUUUUCUUUUUUUUGGUUUCCUGUAAAACUGGUAUUGAUAGAAGACAAAAUUGAGAUGGAAUAGGCUGGUCACAGAGCUUAAAAUAUUUAAGAGAUGUGUUAAUAUUUUAUCCUUGCGAACAGUUAAUUGGGCAUAAUCUUACCUAUUUGCUUCAUUACACACUUUAAUUUGUUUGGAUUACCAGCUUCGGAUCAUUAUAAAACCAAAGUCAUGCAUUGGAGUUGGGCCUUUAUGUACUGCACAGCAGAUGUGUUACCAUGUUCUUCGGCUAUUACAUGGAAUUUGGACUCCUAUUCCUUGAUCUAUGAAAGAUUAUAUUACAUACUUUAAAGCCCAAUGGUUAUCAAAGUCUUCAUACUCCAUUUCAUUAUGGGAGCAUGUUUCGGCUGGAAGUUCAGGU
This is a non-coding RNA of Camellia sinensis, 865 nucleotides long. The record is from RefSeq and is a predicted model, not a curated record. NCBI's taxonomy places the organism in Eukaryota, Viridiplantae, Streptophyta, Magnoliopsida, Ericales, Theaceae.